GGGUUGUGAGGUUAAGCGACUAAGCGUACACGGUGGAUGCCCUGGCAGUCAGAGGCGAUGAAGGACGUGCUAAUCUGCGAUAAGCGUCGGUAAGGUGAUAUGAACCGUUAUAACCGGCGAUUUCCGAAUGGGGAAACCCAGUGUGUUCGCACACUAUCGUUAAGUGAAUACAUAGCUUAACGAAGCGAACCGGGGGAACUGAAACAUCUAAGUACCCCGAGGAAAAGAAAUCAACCGAGAUUCCCCCAGUAGCGGCGAGCGAACGGGGAGGAGCCCAGAGUCUGAAUCAGCGCGUGUGUUAGUGGAACGGUCUGGAAAGUCCGGCGGUACAGGGUGAUAGCCCCGUACACUAAAAUGCACACGUUGUGAACUCGAAGAGUAGGGCGGGACACGUGGUAUCCUGUCUGAAUAUGGGGGGACCAUCCUCCAAGGCUAAAUACUCCUGACUGACCGAUAGUGAACCAGUACCGUGAGGGAAAGGCGAAAAGAACCCCGGCGAGGGGAGUGAAAAAGAACCUGAAACCGUGUACGUACAAGCAGUGGGAGCCUGAUUUGUCAGGUGACUGCGUACCUUUUGUAUAAUGGGUCAGCGACUUAUAUUCUGUAGCAAGGUUAACCGUAUAGGGGAGCCGCAGGGAAACCGAGUCUUAACUGGGCGUUAAGUUGCAGGGUAUAGACCCGAAACCCGGUGAUCUAGCCAUGGGCAGGUUGAAGGUUGGGUAACACUAACUGGAGGACCGAACCGACUAAUGUUGAAAAAUUAGCGGAUGACUUGUGGCUGGGGGUGAAAGGCCAAUCAAACCGGGAGAUAGCUGGUUCUCCCCGAAAGCUAUUUAGGUAGCGCCUCGUGAACUCAUCUUCGGGGGUAGAGCACUGUUUCGGCUAGGGGGUCAUCCCGACUUACCAACCCGAUGCAAACUACGAAUACCGAAGAAUGUUAUCACGGGAGACACACGGCGGGUGCUAACGUCCGUCGUGAAGAGGGAAACAACCCAGACCGCCAGCUAAGGUCCCAAAGUCAUGGUUAAGUGGGAAACGAUGUGGGAAGGCACAGACAGCCAGGAUGUUGGCUUAGAAGCAGCCAUCAUUUAAAGAAAGCGUAAUAGCUCACUGGUCGAGUCGGCCUGCGCGGAAGAUGUAACGGGGCUAAACCAUGCACCGAAGCUGCGGCAGCGACACUAUGUGUUGUUGGGUAGGGGAGCGUUCUGUAAGCCGUUGAAGGUGGCCUGUGAGGGUUGCUGGAGGUAUCAGAAGUGCGAAUGCUGACAUAAGUAACGAUAAAGCGGGUGAAAAGCCCGCUCGCCGGAAGACCAAGGGUUCCUGUCCAACGUUAAUCGGGGCAGGGUGAGUCGACCCCUAAGGCGAGGCCGAAAGGCGUAGUCGAUGGGAAACAGGUUAAUAUUCCUGUACUCGGUGUUACUGCGAAGGGGGGACGGAGAAGGCUAUGUUAGCCGGGCGACGGUUGUCCCGGUUUAAGCAUGUAGGCGGAACGGUUAGGUAAAUCCGGACUUUUUUAACGCUGAGGUGUGAUGACGAGGCACUACGGUGCUGAAGUAACAAAUGCCCUGCUUCCAGGAAAAGCCUCUAAGCAUCAGGUAACAACGAAUCGUACCCCAAACCGACACAGGUGGUCAGGUAGAGAAUACCAAGGCGCUUGAGAGAACUCGGGUGAAGGAACUAGGCAAAAUGGUGCCGUAACUUCGGGAGAAGGCACGCUGAUGGUAGGUGAAGUGACUUGCUCAUGGAGCUGAAAUCAGUCGAAGAUACCAGCUGGCUGCAACUGUUUAUUAAAAACACAGCACUGUGCAAACACGAAAGUGGACGUAUACGGUGUGACGCCUGCCCGGUGCCGGAAGGUUAAUUGAUGGGGUUAUCCGUAAGGAGAAGCUCUUGAUCGAAGCCCCGGUAAACGGCGGCCGUAACUAUAACGGUCCUAAGGUAGCGAAAUUCCUUGUCGGGUAAGUUCCGACCUGCACGAAUGGCGUAAUGAUGGCCAGGCUGUCUCCACCCGAGACUCAGUGAAAUUGAACUCGCUGUGAAGAUGCAGUGUACCCGCGGCAAGACGGAAAGACCCCGUGAACCUUUACUAUAGCUUGACACUGAACAUUGAGCCUUGAUGUGUAGGAUAGGUGGGAGGCUUUGAAGUGUGGACGCCAGUCUGCAUGGAGCCAACCUUGAAAUACCACCCUUUAAUGUUUGAUGUUCUAACGUAGACCCGUGAUCCGGGUUGCGGACAGUGUCUGGUGGGUAGUUUGACUGGGGCGGUCUCCUCCCAAAGAGUAACGGAGGAGCACGAAGGUUAGCUAAUCCUGGUCGGACAUCAGGAGGUUAGUGCAAUGGCAUAAGCUAGCUUGACUGCGAGCGUGACGGCGCGAGCAGGUGCGAAAGCAGGUCAUAGUGAUCCGGUGGUUCUGAAUGGAAGGGCCAUCGCUCAACGGAUAAAAGGUACUCCGGGGAUAACAGGCUGAUACCGCCCAAGAGUUCAUAUCGACGGCGGUGUUUGGCACCUCGAUGUCGGCUCAUCACAUCCUGGGGCUGAAGUAGGUCCCAAGGGUAUGGCUGUUCGCCAUUUAAAGUGGUACGCGAGCUGGGUUUAGAACGUCGUGAGACAGUUCGGUCCCUAUCUGCCGUGGGCGCUGGAGAAUUGAGGGGGGCUGCUCCUAGUACGAGAGGACCGGAGUGGACGCAUCACUGGUGUUCGGGUUGUCAUGCCAAUGGCAUUGCCCGGUAGCUAAAUGCGGAAAAGAUAAGUGCUGAAAGCAUCUAAGCACGAAACUUGCCCCGAGAUGAGUUCUCCCUGACCCUUUAAGUCCUGAAGGAACGUUGAAGACGACGACGUUGAUAGGUCGGGUGUGUAAGCGUAGCGAUACGUUGAGCUAACCGAUACUAAUGAACCGUGAGGCUUAACCUUACAACGCCGAAGCUGUU
This 2928-nucleotide ribosomal RNA is filed under the name Klebsiella ornithinolytica. RNAcentral's name for it is "Raoultella ornithinolytica 23S ribosomal RNA". It matches the Rfam family "Bacterial large subunit ribosomal RNA". The record is from RNAcentral. Lineage: Bacteria; Pseudomonadati; Pseudomonadota; Gammaproteobacteria; Enterobacterales; Enterobacteriaceae.